Long non-coding RNA from Mytilus californianus (California mussel), 1442 nucleotides. RefSeq lists it as uncharacterized. Lineage: Eukaryota; Metazoa; Mollusca; Bivalvia; Mytilida; Mytilidae. The transcript has 3 exons. The record is from RefSeq and is a predicted model, not a curated record.
UCACCAAAACGAGACAAUCGAUAUAAAUGAUGUGCAUUUUCGUUUGUGGCGGUAUGGAUGUACUACUGCUAAAGAUAUCAAUUGCAGUCAUGAGAUACAAUUGAUGAAAGAGAAAUGUAGUACCAAGAAAAACUGUACUGUAAGCGAAAAUGACUUCAAGUCGUGUAGUAAGCAACCUAGACGUGUGUUUGUAAAAGUUACCUGCACUAAGAGAAGAUGGUGGUCUACUAAUCUUCAGUAUACAAAAAGAGUUGAAGUGUGCGGUUCGUUGUCUGCAAUAUAUUGCGGUGAUGAGUAUGCGAUAAGUGGAUUUGAGUUCUGGUGGUAUAAGAUUGAAGCUAUAUGCGAAUUUGAAAGAGAUAUUAGCAACUGCAUGCAGAAAAGUUUAAAUUUGUGUAUUGGACAUACCAGUUGUGGCUACAUCAAUGUUGAUACCGAAUGUUUUUAUUUGACUUGGAGGGCUACAAUAUCUUACAGCUGCAACAGAGAAGGAACUAAUUCAUCUACAACAACAGGGAAAACUACUGGAAAGCAUAGUUAUAUUCCUACAGAAGACGUGUCACCAAGAACAUUUGUUUUUGAUAUAACAAAACCGCCAAAUACAGGUUUGGCUGAAUUAUAAAAAAGGAACAUUUACUGCUCUUCUCUUAAAUUAUGGUUGAAAAUUAAUACAUGUAUAUCAAUUCGCGGAUUUUUUGUACUUAAAUUGACACGUUUCUUGAGUAAAGGCAACAACGAUUUUUGCAAGGUUUUGGCAUGUUAUCUAUUUCCCGCGUGUAAGAGAUAUAAUUUCUCGUAUUACACCAAGCAGAUUGCAAUAUGAAUAAGCGAUACCGCAAAUGCGCAAAUGUUGCCAGUUUGCCUAUCUUGCAAUGCUACAUGUAUAUGAAAUUUUAAUAUUGGUUUUUUUCUAGGUCAAUAAUAACUACCCGAGGAAAUAAUAAUAAACGAUCCCCAUAUUGAAAUUUAAUAUAUUGAGUUGAUAUCAUCUUCACUCCUUAUAAAACCUAUGAAAAUGUACGAUAUGAUAACCGUUUAAAAACAUGUUAAAAAUAUUUUUUGUAAAAGAAGAACACAGAAAAGUAUAUACAGAAUCAUCAGUAAGCAUUUGUUUAACGGAAGACUUUAAAUAAACACCAGUUCUCAUGUUAUUUUUCUCCGGUAGGAAUUUGUGUUCACGCAUCACAUUCCAAACGACAGUUGAACUUUUAGCUGAAAUUAAUAUAAAAUAUCAAAACGACAUUCGAAUAACUAAAGGAAAUAUGUUAGUUUGAUAUUCAUCGUUUGAACAAAUUAAGAAUGGAUGCGAUAUCUUCUUUCUUUGGGAAAUUAUUCGUUCAUUGUUGACUAACACAUUAAUAACAAAUGAGAUCACCAAUCAUUGAACUUUUUUUUCGCUAGCUUAUAUCGAAAUUUGCUGCUGUUCGAAACAAGAAACAAUA